Molecule: ribosomal RNA, 500 nt
Filed under: uncultured bacterium
Lineage: Bacteria
Description: partial 16S ribosomal RNA
Rfam family: Bacterial small subunit ribosomal RNA
Source: RNAcentral
GACGAACGCUGGCGGAGUGCCUUAAGCAUGCAAGUAGAACGAGUUUUACUUGUGCCGCAAGGCAUAAGUCAAACUAGUUGCGAACGGCUGAGUAAUGAGUAAGAAUCUUUCCUUUGGUGGAGAAUACCCCUGCGAAAGCAGGGCUAAUACUGCAUAAGAUCUACGGAUGAAAGCGAUUAACUUCGCGCCGAUUGAGGAGCUUACUUCCCAGCAGGCAGUUGGUAGGGUAAUGGCCUACCAAACCUACGACGGGUACCCGAUCUGAGAGGACGAUCAGCCACACUGGGACUGAGACACGGCCCAGACUCCUACGGGAGGCAGCAGUGGGGAAUUUUGGACAAUGGGCGAAAGCCUGAUCCAGCAAUGCCGCGUGCAGGAUGAAGGCCUUCGGGUUGUAAACUGCUUUUGUACGGAACGAAAAGCCCUGGGUUAAUACCCUGGGGUCAUGACGGUACCGUAAGAAUAAGCACCGGCUAACUACGUGCCAGCCGCCGCAGUAA